RNAcentral lists this microRNA (22 nucleotides) under Branchiostoma floridae (Florida lancelet). Its description in RNAcentral is "Bfl-Mir-12490_3p (mature (guide))". Lineage: Eukaryota; Metazoa; Chordata; Leptocardii; Amphioxiformes; Branchiostomatidae. RNAcentral also lists the same sequence under 1 other name. The record is from RNAcentral.
UAAAGGUGGUCAGUAGUAGGUC